CCGAGGAAGAAUGGAGGCAGGCAGGAGCAUUUUAAGCGCUGAAAUCGAGCGCGUACGCCAUUUUCUUUCUCUCCGUAGUUUAAUCAAAGCUUACUGGGCUUAAAAGGAACAAAAGGUUUCGCUGUCUGUCUACACGAAACGUAGGGUAGAGAGUAGGGAGUGAAAGGAAGCGGAGAGGGAGAAGAGUAGGGAGGGAAAGGGGCAGGGUGCAGGGACUCUGACGUAAGCACAUUCCUCAAAACACGUCAGCACAGACCCCUCUCUCUUUUGAAAAUACGGACCUUUUGCUGCAGUUUUCUUCUUUUUUUUUUUUUUUUUUGUUUUGGUUUUCCUUUCUCUUCUCAGUCUCACUCGCGUGCCUCUCCCUCACGCCCCAACUGUCAGAUNUCUUCUCAGUCUCACUCGCGUGCCUCUCCCUCACGCCCCAACUGUCAGAUCUCUUUCUCUCUCUAAAUUUUACUGUUUCUCACCACUGUUAACCUUUUUCAUCUUCAACCCCCUCUUCCUCUCUCUCUCUCUCUCUCUCUC
Molecule: long non-coding RNA, 528 nt
Filed under: Theobroma cacao (cacao)
Lineage: Eukaryota; Viridiplantae; Streptophyta; Magnoliopsida; Malvales; Malvaceae
Description: long non-coding RNA (TCAC_LNC002828)
Source: RNAcentral